RNAcentral lists this microRNA precursor (62 nucleotides) under Schmidtea mediterranea. RNAcentral describes it as "Sme-Mir-1992-P6-v1_pre stem-loop". The record is from RNAcentral. Lineage: Eukaryota; Metazoa; Platyhelminthes; Tricladida; Dugesiidae.
CGCCAAUGACAAACUGUUGAUGAAGACUUUGUCACAAUUAUCAGCAGUUGUCCAUUGACGUU